GUAACAAUCCAAGCAUCACGCUCAGUGGAAUUCACAAGCCCAAAGAACUUUCCGGGAUAGUAAUCAGCUGCUUGAGAACAACUCAUAGUCUUCACACCACGCCACUUUACCCUUGCUUUCGUGUUAGCACCAGGACCCUUGUUAUUAUACUCAAGAUACGUACAUGUGUUCUUGUUAGCACUUCCCAUCCAUGCCAUGUAACCUUCUGGUGAGAAAACAUCAUCAAUGAUUGAAUCCAUGAUGACAACUUUGGAGAACGCUCUCCAUGGUCGUCCGAGGAAGGAUAUUUUGGUCUUUAACCUUGCCACGUCAGGCUCGCCGGAGAAGUGGCAGCUCUGGAAGACAAGGGCACUGGGGCUGUCGGCUUUUGUUCUUCCGCCGGCGGUGACGAGGCAUUGUUGGGAUUCGACGGAGGGCUUUCGGACGAUGAGCUUGCAGUUCUGGAAGACUCCGAAGGCGUCGCCGAAGACGAAGACAAUGGUGCCAGUGAUGGUGCAGGCGCAGUAGAAUUGGCGUUGGGAUUGGACGUAGAGGGUAUCUUGGAAGCCGUCCAUUGCGCAGUUGUGGAACACUGCUUGGUCUGCUGUUACUCGGAGUGCCACUGCUUGGUGCUUUUCUGAUCCUGCUGUGUUCUCGAAACCGAUGUCCUUUGC
RNAcentral lists this long non-coding RNA (653 nucleotides) under Lotus japonicus. Its description in RNAcentral is "long non-coding RNA (LJAP_LNC002214)". The record is from RNAcentral. Lineage: Eukaryota; Viridiplantae; Streptophyta; Magnoliopsida; Fabales; Fabaceae.